UCCUAGUUUCCUAGGCAGUCCCAUCAGAGUGCCUCCGAAGAGUAGCAACUGACAGCAGGGGUUGCGCUCGUUAAAGGACUUAACCCAACAUCUCACGACACGAGCUGACGACAGCCAUGCAGCACCUGUGUACCCGUUCAGGCUUACGCCUGAAAAGCCAUAUUUCUAUAGCGGGCGUGUACAUGUCAAGCCCAGGUAAGGUUUCUCGCGUAGUAUCGAAUUAAACCACAUGUUCCACCGCUUGUGCGGACCCCCGUCAAUUCCUUUGAGUUUUAAUCUUGCGACCGUACUCCCCAGGCGGGUCACUUAACGCGUUAGCUACGACACUGGCCCCGCAGAGCGGAACCAACGUCUAGUGACCAUCGUUUACAGCGUGGACUAC
This 382-nucleotide unclassified non-coding RNA is filed under the name uncultured bacterium. RNAcentral's name for it is "contains 16S-23S intergenic spacer region". The record is from RNAcentral.